RNAcentral lists this ribosomal RNA (253 nucleotides) under uncultured bacterium. RNAcentral's name for it is "partial 16S ribosomal RNA". It matches the Rfam family "Bacterial small subunit ribosomal RNA", at positions 524 to 776 of the family's 1533-position model. The record is from RNAcentral.
CACGUAGGGCGCAAGCGUUGUCCGGAAUUAUUGGGCGUAAAGAGCUCGUAGGCGGCCGGUUGCGUCUGCUGUGAAAUCCCGGGGCUUAACCCCGGGCGUGCAGUGGAUACGGGCUGGCUGGAGGCAGGCAGGGGAGAAUGGAAUUCCCGGUGUAGCGGUGAAAUGCGCAGAUAUCGGGAGGAACACCGGUGGCGAAGGCGGUUCUCUGGGCCUGUGCUGACGCUGAGGAGCGAAAGCGUGGGGAGCAAACAGG